GCAUAUCAAUAAGCGGAGGAAAAGAAACUAACAAGGGAUUCCCCUAGUAACGGCGAGUGAAGUGGGAAAAGCUCAACUUUGUAAUCUGGCAGCUUCGCUGUCCGAGUUGUAGUCUCGAGAAGUGUUUCCGCGCUGGAUCGUGUAUGAGUCUGUUGGAAUACAGCGUCAUAGAGGGUGAGAACCCCGUUCGUGACACGACUACCAGUGCUUUGUGAUACAUUUUCGAUGAGUCGAGUUGUUUGGGAAUGCAGCUCAAAUUGGGUGGUAAAUUCCAUCUAAAGCUAAAUAUUGGCGAGAGACCGAUAGCAAACAAGUACCGUGAGGGAAAGAUGAAAAGCACUUUGGAAAGAGAGUUAACAGUACGUGAAAUUGUUGAAAGGGAAACGUUUGAAGUCAGACGUGCGUUGUGCGAUUCAGCUCCGGUUCGCCGGAGUGUAUUUCGUACUAUUGCAGGCCAGCAUCGGUUUGGCGAGCCGGAUAAAGGUUAGAGAAAGGUAGCGGUCCAGGCCGUGUUAUAGUCUUUAACUGAAUACGGAUUGCUAGACCGAGGGACGCAGCGCGCCGCAAGGCAAAGCUUUCGGGCUUUUCGCGCUUAGG
This 597-nucleotide ribosomal RNA is filed under the name Symmetrospora marina. Its description in RNAcentral is "eukaryotic LSU rRNA". It matches the Rfam family "Eukaryotic large subunit ribosomal RNA", at positions 38 to 621 of the family's 3401-position model. Lineage: Eukaryota; Fungi; Basidiomycota; Cystobasidiomycetes; Symmetrosporaceae. The record is from RNAcentral.